This 468-nucleotide ribosomal RNA is filed under the name uncultured bacterium. RNAcentral's name for it is "partial 16S ribosomal RNA". It matches the Rfam family "Bacterial small subunit ribosomal RNA", at positions 28 to 507 of the family's 1533-position model. The record is from RNAcentral.
GACGAACGCUGGCGGCGUGCUUAACACAUGCAAGUCGAACGGAAAGGCCCUGCUUUUGUGGGGUGCUCGAGUGGCGAACGGGUGAGUAACACGUGAGUAACCUGCCCUUGACUUUGGGAUAACUUCAGGAAACUGGGGCUAAUACCGGAUAUGAGCUCCUGCUGCAUGGUGUGGGUUGGAAAGUUUCGGCGGUUGGGGAUGGACUCGCGGCUUAUCAGCUUGUUGGUGGGGUAGUGGCUUACCAAGGCUUUGACGGGUAGCAGGCCUGAGAGGGUGACCGGAAACAUUGGGACUGAGAUACGGACCAGACUCGAACGGGAGGCAGCAGUGGGGAAUAUUGCACAAUGGGAGGAAGCCUGAUGAAGAAACGCCGCGUGCGGGAUGACGGCCUUCGGGGUGUAAACCGAUUUCGACUGUGACGAAGCGGGAGUGACGGUAAUGGGUAAAGAAGCACCGGCUAACUACGUG